This 1058-nucleotide long non-coding RNA is filed under the name Actinidia chinensis (golden kiwifruit). RNAcentral describes it as "long non-coding RNA (ACHI_LNC004519)". The record is from RNAcentral. Lineage: Eukaryota; Viridiplantae; Streptophyta; Magnoliopsida; Ericales; Actinidiaceae.
UCGCCAUCCCUAGGCUUAAAUGUCUCUAAACCCUCCCACCUGAUAAAGAAAUAUGUUCAAGAGCAGGGUGGAAGAACAGAAAAAGGUUGUUAUAGCUCUUUAUUGAACAAACAAAUGAACAAAUGGUUCACAUUGACACUUGACCAAAACUCUAAUGGGUUGAUUGACACAAAUAGAAGUAAAAGGUGCAAGAGAAUUUUGGUGAAAAUGCAAGGGUAAAAAUGUAAUCCACCCUAAAUUAUAUACGAUUGACACAAUUGGAAGUAAAAGGUGCAAGGGAAUUUCGGUGAAAGUGCAGGGGUAAAAAUGUAAUCCACCCUAAAUUAUAUACGCCAAAAUGAAUGAAUAAACAAAUGUAGCAAAUAAUAACGUUAGUGAAAGGGCAACUCACAACUGUAUUUAAUUAAAGAUGAGAGGAGGAGGAGGAGGAGGACAUUUAAUGGUGAAAUCAGAAAUUGAAUGUUUAUGGUUGGUGAUGCAAUAAAUGGCCGUCCGAUCACGUUAUCCCGUGAUCUGAUCACGUCCAUCCAUCAGUAUGCAGACAGUUCACUAAAUUAUUAACCAACCCCUGCGUGCAUUACAAUCAGGAGGCGCGUGAACUUUAUAAAGGACCAGCUUUAUACAUUUUGCAAUAAUCAUUUUUAUCAGUACUUUUUGCUUUUUGCAUUAUGGCUAAUCGUGGUGAGUGCUACAACAGUGCUACAGUUCUUGAAUUUAGAUCAAAAAUAAAAAUUUAAAUUCAAAACGAAUGGUUCAAAUUUACUUACGUGUGUAGGGGAUCGUAAAAAAAAAAAUACGAUUACACACUAAAAAAUUCCUUAAAAAUGAAAAGAAAUAUUAAUUUCUCUUUUACCCCUCUGAAAAGUUUUACAAGAAUGGUAAAAACAAUUCAUACUUUUGAUUUGGACAAGUGACAUUGUGCCCACUUUCUAUUUUUAUAUAUUGUGUCACUUUUAAUAGGUUCUUGACAGGGACAGACGAAGUAUUUAAUCUUUGAGGCAAAUGUACAUACAAAAUUUAAAAUUUAUAAUCUAUGUAAGAAACACAACAUUUAUCUU